Molecule: unclassified non-coding RNA, 348 nt
Filed under: soil metagenome
Description: partial contains 5.8S ribosomal RNA, internal transcribed spacer 2, and large subunit ribosomal RNA
Rfam family: 5.8S ribosomal RNA (bases 1-120)
Source: RNAcentral
GAUGAAGAACGUAGCAAAAUGUGAUAAGUAAUGUGAAUUGCAGAAUUCAGUGAAUCAUCGAAUCUUUGAACGCACAUUGCGCCCGCUGGUAUUCCGGCGGGCAUGCCUGUUCGAGCGUCAUUUCAACCCUCAAGCCCCCGGGUUUGGUGUUGGGGAUCGGCUCUGCCCUUCUGGGCGGUGCCGCCCCCGAAAUACAUUGGCGGUCUCGCUGCAGCCUCCAUUGCGUAGUAGCUAACACAUCGCAACUGGAACGCGGCGCGGCCAUGCCGUAAAACCCAAACUUCUGAAUGUUGACCUCGGAUCAGGUAGGAAUACCCGCUGAACUUAAGCAUAUCAAUAAGCGGAGGA